GAUGAAGAACGUAGUGAAAUGCGAUAAGUAAUGUGAAUUGCAGAAUUCAGUGAAUCAUCGAAUCUUUGAACGCAUCUUGCGCUCCUUGGUAUUCUGAGGAGCAUGCCCGUUUGAGUGUCAUUAAAUUCUCAACCGCACUGACUUUGAAUUGGUGUGGCUUGGAUUUGGGGGGAAAAUUGUUGUGGGCUUUUUUGUAUAGUCUGCUCCCCUGAAAUUGAUUAGCGGUACCUUUGUGGAACUGUCUACAGGUGUGAUAAUUAUCUACAUCCUAGACAUCUGCUGGAAUGCUGCUUUCUAAACCUUACUUGUAUUGACAAUCUUGACCUCAAAUCAGGUAGGACUACCCGCUGAACUUAAGCAUAUCAAUAAGCGGAGGA
Molecule: unclassified non-coding RNA, 377 nt
Filed under: soil metagenome
Description: partial contains 5.8S ribosomal RNA, internal transcribed spacer 2, and large subunit ribosomal RNA
Rfam family: 5.8S ribosomal RNA (bases 1-120)
Source: RNAcentral